RNAcentral lists this ribosomal RNA (47 nucleotides) under Fagonia cretica. Its description in RNAcentral is "partial 28S ribosomal RNA". Lineage: Eukaryota; Viridiplantae; Streptophyta; Magnoliopsida; Zygophyllales; Zygophyllaceae. The record is from RNAcentral.
CCCCAGGUCAGGCGGGACUACCCGCGAGUUUAAGCAUAUCAAUAAGC